UGAUGAUGAUGAUGAUGAUGAUAAUGAUGAUGAUGAUAAUUGUAUAUGGUGAUUCAUAUCAUCAUCAUCCUUCCCUUUACAUCCUAC
Molecule: microRNA precursor, 87 nt
Filed under: Bigelowiella natans CCMP2755
Lineage: Eukaryota; Cercozoa; Chlorarachniophyceae
Description: miRNA EPrBNAG00000013144
Source: RNAcentral